Ictalurus punctatus (channel catfish) is the source of this 1828-nucleotide long non-coding RNA. NCBI's taxonomy places the organism in Eukaryota, Metazoa, Chordata, Actinopteri, Siluriformes, Ictaluridae. The record is from Ensembl.
CGCACUUCCACCUCGACACAGGACUUCAUCACCACACCUUCACCCGACUGAUCAGCGUCUCCCCUCCUGAAGAGGAGACUGAAGGGAGAAACCCCCCCGAAACAAACAACACCUGAAAGAAUCUGCAGGAAAAUCCUGGAGAAGCUUCACAGAAGAAGAACCUGACAGUUUGAAGAUGUCACUGAUUCGCAGGAUUGAUGCAGUUCCUGCAAGCGAGGGAUACGUAACCCAAUAUUAAGCGUUAUUUACUGCCGAGUGAUGAGACACACCCUACGGUUACUGCUGAUGGAUACGUGGACAAUCUGGCCUGCGCUGUGGACGCCAUACUGGAACACCGCCGCGUUUAGAGACGUCUCUGAUCUCUGACCUGCUGAGAGGAACUUUAACCUGCUGACUAACAACAAUUACACUAAUUAUCACUGAUUAAUUACUCAUUAUCACGAAAUAAUUAUCUGUAAAACUACUGUCACAAGGGAUAUUAUGCUGGUUUAAAGGGAUAUUACACUGGUUUUCUUCCAAGUCUUCAUAGAGCAUAAUAUGAAAUACAUGAUGUAUUUUUUGCUAAAUCAUCUUUGUGUCAUCGUGGUGAUGUUAGCUAACGUUAGCUAGGUUUUCCCAUACCCGUGAUUGUAACUUGCUCUACUGCUGGUUUAAUUAAAUAGCUAAAUAUCCCGAUUAUUUGUUUAAACCAGUGUGCUAAUCUGGCUAGCUAGCGUUAGUGAUAAAGACAUGGUGGUUGUUAUGGUAACGAUACUGAAAUCCAGUUCGUGUCAAAUCUCACUGUGACAUAUCUGUGCUAGUCUACUAGCAUUUGACUAGCCAGCUUUGCUAACCUUAUAACCAUACUACGCUACCUCCAAUGGCAGGAAGACGGUCACGGGGGUGUUUUGCAUAGAUUUGCAUAUUUUUGCAUAUUCAGUUUCUGUCCUUGUAGAGAUGGGUUUAAGCUAUUUUAAGUCAUUUCUUGAGCAGUGAAAACAUUUUAAACAAAUGUUCCCACAGACUGGCUCAGCGUGUGUGUGUGUGUGUGUGUGUGUGUGUGUGUGUGUGUGUGUGUGUGUGUGUGUGUGUUUCAGUGGGAAUGUAAUGCAGCAGGGACUUUAUCACUAAACACUAUAAAGAAUGUAUGUUAAAUGGACUGUACCAUGUUGACAUUUUGCUUCUCUGUGUUCAGAUUAGAUGUGAGAGGGAAGGAUAGAGCGAGACAGAGAGAGGGGGAAAGAGAGAGAGAGUGAGAGAGUGAGUAAACAUAUAGUUCACCACAGUGUUAUGAUUCUGCCUGGGGAGGUUUCCACAGCAUCGUACCGUACUGUAGUGCGUGUUAACAGCUUGUUGAGUAAGAAAACAUACACAAUAGAUGUUUUUUUUUAAUCUGGACGCAGAUUUUAGGUCCUGCUAAACCCCAGACAUGAACGCGUGUACGGAAAACUCCUGUCUCAGGGAAUUUGUAACACCGUCAGUCUCACGCAUGUCGUAUUUGAUGUUUGUGGAAAAAUCGUGAAUCUCUCGAGGCCUCGUAUUUAACACACACAAAAAAAGAGUCAAAUAAUACACAGUACUACAAUAGAUGGCGUGAUGGCGUGGAACCGCAGCAGCUGACUUCGCGUAUCGAAACAUAUUCGACCUUUUCUUAUGAGGUCCUCACUUUCUUCUGGCUCUUGGGAGACUUUCAGAAGCGCUACACUUUGGACCGGUGAUUACAGUCGAGGUUUUAUUGCACUCUAAAGAUAUAAAAAGAUGGAAGAUAAAACAGGCACGUGAGGCGUGAGGCGUGAGGCGAGCUCGUUCCGAGACGGAGCGUGGCGUCCUCACACAGAGUGCGUAGUCC